CAUCAUGGCUUCCACCUCAGUGCUCCUGCUUCAGCUGCUCCUGGUCUCGCAGGCGUCUGCAUCUCACUUCUUUGGGGGAACCACGACCUACAACUACAAAGGAAAAAACCCAGAUGGAUCAUUUAAGGUGGACCUUCGCUACAGGGAAACCUUUGAUGGGUGCUAUCACUCUCUCUACUGGGAAUGUUUCCAAGGCAAUUGUGGUAAUGUCCAAAGAAGCGUGAGGGGUGAGAUUGAAAGCAGCACCAAUGCACCACUGCUCAAUCGCCAAUGGUGUGAAACUGAAACUGUCAGCAGAACAAUCCUCCAGAGUAACAAACCUUUUCAACUCAUGGCUGCCAGCUGCUGUUGGAUCCCUAAGCGUACUGGGAAUAAUGAUCAGUGGAAUCUAGUGACCACGGUGGAUUUGGGGAUCAGAUCUGACACUAAGGAACCAAACAGAUCACCAGCCGUUGCUAUUCUCCCUUUCCUAAGAGUUCCUCAGAACUGUCCCCGGACAUACAAGCUGAUGGCCUUCGAUCCUGAUGGAGACAAAGUUCAAUGCAGAUAUGGAAAUAUUAAAACUGGAGAGUGUUCCCUGUGUGACCAACCUUCAGGCUUUCACUUAAAUGAGGGAACCUGCACAUUACAUUACCACUCGUCCAGCGCUGACUCAAGAGUUUAUGGAUUUGAGUUGGUGGUGGAGGACUUCCCAGUAGGCUCCAUCAAUCUGAC
Long non-coding RNA from Pungitius pungitius (ninespine stickleback), 714 nucleotides. RefSeq lists it as uncharacterized. The transcript has 5 exons. Lineage: Eukaryota; Metazoa; Chordata; Actinopteri; Perciformes; Gasterosteidae. The record is from RefSeq and is a predicted model, not a curated record.